CCUACGGGAGGCAGCAGUGAGGAAUAUUGGUCAAUGGACGAGAGUCUGAACCAGCCAAGUAGCGUGAAGGAUGACUGCCCUAUGGGUUGUAAACUUCUUUUAUAUGGGAAUAAAACGUUCCAUGUGUGGGAUUUUGUAUGUACCAUAUGAAUAAGGAUCGGCUAACUCCGUGCCAGCAGCCGCGGUAAUACGGAGGAUCCGAGCGUUAUCCGGAUUUAUUGGGUUUAAAGGGAGCGUAGGUGGGUUGUUAAGUCAGUUGUGAAAGUUUGCGGCUCAACCGUAAAAUUGCAGUUGAAACUGGCAGUCUUGAGUACAGUAGAGGUAGGCGGAAUUCGUGGUGUAGCGGUGAAAUGCUUAGAUAUCACGAAGAACUCCGAUUGCGAAGGCAGUUCACUAGACUGCAACUGACACUGAGGCUCGAAAGUGUGGGUAUCAAACAGGAUUAGAUACCCGAGUAGUC
This 460-nucleotide ribosomal RNA is filed under the name uncultured bacterium. Its description in RNAcentral is "partial 16S ribosomal RNA". It matches the Rfam family "Bacterial small subunit ribosomal RNA", at positions 338 to 795 of the family's 1533-position model. The record is from RNAcentral.